This 424-nucleotide ribosomal RNA is filed under the name Lactococcus lactis. RNAcentral describes it as "bacterial SSU rRNA". It matches the Rfam family "Bacterial small subunit ribosomal RNA", at positions 28 to 433 of the family's 1533-position model. Lineage: Bacteria; Bacillati; Bacillota; Bacilli; Lactobacillales; Streptococcaceae. The record is from RNAcentral.
GACGAACGCUGGCGGCGUGCCUAAUACAUGCAAGUUGAGCGCUGAAGGUUGGUACUUGUACCAACUGGAUGAGCAGCGAACGGGUGAGUAACGCGUGGGGAAUCUGCCUUUGAGCGGGGGACAACAUUUGGAAACGAAUGCUAAUACCGCAUAAAAACUUUAAACACAAGUUUUAAGUUUGAAAGAUGCAAUUGCAUCACUCAAAGAUGAUCCCGCGUUGUAUUAGCUAGUUGGUGAGGUAAAGGCUCACCAAGGCGAUGAUACAUAGCCGACCUGAGAGGGUGAUCGGCCACAUUGGGACUGAGACACGGCCCAAACUCCUACGGGAGGCAGCAGUAGGGAAUCUUCGGCAAUGGGACGAAAAGUCUGACCCGAGCAAACGCCCGCGUGAGUGAAAGAAAGGUUUUUCGGAUCGUAGAAACUU